This 1789-nucleotide ribosomal RNA is filed under the name Triticum aestivum (bread wheat). RNAcentral describes it as "partial small subunit ribosomal RNA". The record is from RNAcentral. Lineage: Eukaryota; Viridiplantae; Streptophyta; Magnoliopsida; Poales; Poaceae.
GGACCUAGGUGUCUUUUGUCUCGUUGGGCUAACCGGGUGAUAGUGCAGGGCUUGCCUGCGUGUUAGAUAGGGGCUGAAAGAGAGGUUGGAGCUAAGAGUAGAGGGCUUAGGGUGGCAGCGGCGGCCAGAGGAGGCUGUCUGGGCGGUGGUGGCGGCCGGAAGAGGGGGUCUGUGCGGCGUGGGUGGCCGGAGGAGGACGUCUGGGCGGCGGCGUUCGGAGGAGGGCGUUGGGGCGGCCGCCGGGGGAGGGUUUAGGCCGAACUGAUGGGUGGCAUCUGGCGUGGACGGGGUAGGGCGCCGGUGGGGGCCUAGGAGCGCUGCGGCGGCAGGGUUGUAAGGACGCGCGGCGGCGGCGGAGGACCUAGGGCCUCGAGGCGCUGAGCCAGUAAGGAUGGUAGAGGCGGAAGGAGGUCGAUCGAUCGGAGCGGCCGCGGCCGCGGCCGACGUCGGGGUCUAGGGGUGGUGACCCCGGGCGGUCGCCUGCGGCGCGAGGGGGUGGCGGCGGUCGGCGGCCGCGCCAUGGAGUAGGGGCCAAGGAGGUAAGAUCGGUACACGCCGGCAAGUUGCUUGACCGAGCUACGGCAGGUUGAGGAGAAACCGCGUCGUAGCCCUUGCUGUCGCAGGUUCGGUAGAGGAGACAAGUCGGGCUAUCGCAGGUUCGGUAGAGGAGACAAGUUCAAGCAAAGUUAGGUGUUGGCGGUAGCGCCACCGGAGUACGAGGUCGGGGUACGGUGCCGGCGUCAGGUUACACAGGUCAACGUCGGCAAGCCGUGACGGUACGUUCCACUCGACCUAGGUUUGUGGGACGAGUAGAGCCAGCGUCGGUACCGAAAGCAUGUUCGACGGCGACGUCGAGUUGGGUGUACGCGAACCCAACUACUCAUGCUUGUGGCGCGGCCGUCCAGGUGUGCGGUAGUUGUUUCAGGUACGAUAACGACGAGAGGCUGAGUGUCGUAGUGCUUAGUCCACCGCCGGUAUUAUCCGAUCGGUACAAUACGAAACCGAGGGUCAUUGCACAAACACGAUUACGAAUCAUCCUCGAGAUCAACAUGACUAUUUUCUCUUGGCUUGGUCGUAUAUUCCCUUUUUCGUCGUAGAGAGAUAGAAACUAGCAAGAUACUAUGUGUAUACGUGCAUAUACGUUAAUCGGUUUAAGGAGGAAAUAUAACAAAUAAGUGAUUAGUAAGUACGUAGCACAGGAUUUUUCUUUAUGUCUCACGAGGCAAGCCGUAGUACCGAGCGACGGGGUCGCGCGCGGGCGACAACACGAGGAGGAUGGUGGAGGGCUGCUACGGGCACCGCGGUUCUUCCUGAGUGACUGCUCGCAGAGUUAGGGGUAACUUAUCUGCGUACACGACACGCGGCCCUCACACCUUACCAGCGACAGCAGAGGUCAACGGCCCGUAGCGUGGUACUCGCAUAAGACUUUUGACGCCAUCUCUCUCGUACACGGACAGUUUUCCCCGCCGUCCACGGACAGUUUUCCUCGCCGCUCCUCUUCGAUCGGAACAAAUAGGCGUGAUUUAGUAAGGGACGGAACGAGGAAUAUAGAGGACCCACUUCUUCUUGUUCAUGAUGCCCUAAGUCUAGUCGCAACCCACAGUUUUCUUUGUUACCUCUACAAAAAUACCGCAAGCACGUACACUACCGACACACACAAGAAACACAUACAGAAACCCCUUUACAAAAAAAAGCACGAAACACAUAUGUUUUCUUUAUUCAAGUUUUUAUUCUAUACAUUCUCAAGUUUUAUACAUUUCUUUUUUCAAGCACAUACUCUUUAAGUGCG